This 255-nucleotide ribosomal RNA is filed under the name uncultured bacterium. Its description in RNAcentral is "partial 16S ribosomal RNA". It matches the Rfam family "Bacterial small subunit ribosomal RNA", at positions 99 to 354 of the family's 1533-position model. The record is from RNAcentral.
CGGACGGGUGAGUAACGCGUGGGGAACCUGCCCUGUACAGGGGGAUAACACUUAGAAAUAGGUGCUAAUACCGCAUAAGCGCACAGCUUCGCAUGAAGCGGUGUGAAAAACUCUGGUGGUAUACGAUGGUUCCGCGUCUGAUUAGCUAGUUGGUGGGGUAAUGGCCUACCAAGGCAACGAUCAGUAGCCGGCCUGAGAGGGUGAACGGCCACAUUGGGACUGAGACACGGCCCAAACUCCUACGGAAGGCAGCAG